CCGGAGCCUCUUACACGUUCUGGAGCGGCUGGGGCAUACACCCAGUUUAAGCCUGGCUAUCGGUAAGACCAGGCGAUUGUUGCACAUGUUUUGUUUUUUCACUUCUUUUCACUCUCAUUGUCCCCUUCUUUUCCCCUCCCUCAACUCAUACCUAUGUUCUCCGGGGAGGAGGAGCGGGGGAAACUAGGAGCACGGAGCCCCCAGUCGGCAGC
Non-coding RNA from Pelobates cultripes (western spadefoot toad), 212 nucleotides. The record is from the annotation of a GenBank genome assembly. NCBI's taxonomy places the organism in Eukaryota, Metazoa, Chordata, Amphibia, Anura, Pelobatidae.